RNAcentral lists this ribosomal RNA (487 nucleotides) under Mycobacterium nonchromogenicum. Its description in RNAcentral is "Mycolicibacter nonchromogenicus bacterial SSU rRNA". It matches the Rfam family "Bacterial small subunit ribosomal RNA", at positions 31 to 520 of the family's 1533-position model. Lineage: Bacteria; Bacillati; Actinomycetota; Actinomycetes; Mycobacteriales; Mycobacteriaceae. The record is from RNAcentral.
GAACGCUGGCGGCGUGCUUAACACAUGCAAGUCGAACGGAAAGGCCCCUUCGGGGUACUCGAGUGGCGAACGGGUGAGUAACACGUGGGUGAUCUGCCCUGCACUUUGGGAUAAGCCUGGGAAACUGGGUCUAAUACCGAAUAGGACCGCAUGCUGCAUGGUGUGUGGUGGAAAGCUUUUGCGGUGUGGGAUGGGCCCGCGGCCUAUCAGCUUGUUGGUGGGGUAAUGGCCUACCAAGGCGACGACGGGUAGCCGGCCUGAGAGGGUGUCCGGCCACACUGGGACUGAGAUACGGCCCAGACUCCUACGGGAGGCAGCAGUGGGGAAUAUUGCACAAUGGGCGCAAGCCUGAUGCAGCGACGCCGCGUGGGGGAUGACGGCCUUCGGGUUGUAAACCUCUUUCAGUAUCGGCGAAGCUCCAAGGUUUUCUUUGGGGUGACGGUAGGUACAGAAGAAGCACCGGCCAACUACGUGCCAGCAGCCGCGG